This 1291-nucleotide ribosomal RNA is filed under the name Alexandrium margalefii. Its description in RNAcentral is "partial Bacterial large subunit ribosomal RNA". It matches the Rfam family "Bacterial large subunit ribosomal RNA", at positions 1 to 1366 of the family's 2925-position model. Lineage: Eukaryota; Dinophyceae; Gonyaulacales; Pyrocystaceae. The record is from RNAcentral.
AAAGUAAGGGCGUAUGGGGAAUGCCUAGGCUCUCAGAGGCGAAGAAGGACGUGAUAAGCUGCGAAAAGCUACGGGGAUCGGCACACACGAUAUGAUCCGUAGAUAUCCGAAUGGGGCAACCCGUUAUAUUGAAGAUAUAACAUCCCGCAAGGGAGGCAAACCCGGGGAACUGAAACAUCUAAGUACCCUUAGGAAAAGAAAUCAACCGAGAUUCCCCUAGUAGCGGCGAGCGAACGGGGAGCAGCCCUUAAGCUGUUUAGAAUUUAGUGGAAUCCUUUGGGAAGAGGAGCGAUACAAGGUGAUAGCCCUGUACACGACGGAUUCUUUACAGUGAAAUCGAGUAGGUCGGGACACGUGUUAUCUUGACUGAAUAUGGGGGGACCAUCCUCCAAGGCUAAAUACUCCUAACUGACCGAUAGUGAACCAGUACCGUGAGGGAAAGGUGAAAAGAACCCCUGUUAGGGGAGUGAAAUAGAACCUGAAACCGUGUACGUACAAGCAGUCGGAGCCCUCUUUGUGGGGUGACGGCGUACCUUUUGUAUAAUGGGUCAGCGACUUAUAUUUAGUAGCAAGGUUAAGUGAAUAACGGAGCCGUAGCGAAAGCGAGUGUUAACUGCGCGUUUAGUUGCUAGGUAUAGACCCGAAACCCGGUGAUCUAGCCAUGAGCAGGUUGAAGGUUGAGUAACAUCAACUGGAGGACCGAACCCACUAACUUUGAAAAGUUAGGGGAUGACUUGUGGCUGGGGGUGAAAGGCCAAUCAAACCGGGAGAUAGCUGGUUCUCCCCGAAAUCUAUUUAGGUAGAGCCUCGGACGAAUUCCAUUGGGGGUAGAGCACUGUUAAGGCUAGGGGGUCAUCCCGACUUACCAACCCUUUGCAAACUCCGAAUACCAAUGAGAACUAUCCGGGAGACACACGGCGGGUGCUAACGUCCGUCGUGGAGAGGGAAACAACCCAGACCGCCAGCUAAGGUCCCAAAAUAUUGCUAAGUGGUAAACGAUGUGGGAAGGCAUAGACAGCUAGGAGGUUGGCUUAGAAGCAGCCACCCUUUAAAGAAAGCGUAAUAGCUCACUAGUCGAGUCGGCCUGCGCGGAAGAUGUAACGGGGCUCAAACUGGUCACCGAAGCUGCGGCUGCAUACAUUGUAUGCGGGGUAGGGGAGCGUUCUGUAAGCCUGCGAAGGUGUGUUGAGAAGCAUGCUGGAGGUAUCAGAAGUGCGAAUGCUGACAUGAGUAACGACAAUGCGGGUGAAAAACCCGCACGCCGAAAACCCAAGGGUUCCUGCGCAACGCU